Molecule: ribosomal RNA, 385 nt
Filed under: uncultured bacterium
Lineage: Bacteria
Description: bacterial SSU rRNA
Rfam family: Bacterial small subunit ribosomal RNA
Source: RNAcentral
AAUGGGCGCAAGCCUAAUCCAGCCAUGCCGCGUGAGUGAUGAAGGCCUUCGGGUUGUAAAGCUCUUUUGGCGGGGACGAUGAUGACGGUACCCGCAGAAUAAGCCCCGGCAAACUUCGUGCCAGCAGCCGCGGUAAGACGACUGGGGCAAGCGUUGUUCGGAAUUACUGGGCGUAAAGGGCGCGUAGGCGGUUCUUUAAGUCAGGCGUGAAAGCCCUGGGCUCAACCUGGGAGUGGCGCUUGAUACUGGGGGACUAGAGAGUGGAAGAGGUUGGUGGAAUUCCCAGUGUAGAGGUGAAAUUCGUAGAUAUUGGGAAGAACACCGGUGGCGAAGGCGGCCAACUGGACCAUUUCUGACGCUGAGGCGCGAAAGCGUGGGGAGCAAA